GGGGAUAUAGCUCAGUGGUAAAAUGUGUGCUUAGCAUGCAUAAAGUCCUAGGUUCAAUUCCCAGUACCUCCA
RNAcentral lists this transfer RNA (72 nucleotides) under Camelus bactrianus (Bactrian camel). It matches the Rfam family "tRNA". From Rfam's summary of the family: Transfer RNA (tRNA) molecules are approximately 80 nucleotides in length. Their secondary structure includes four short double-helical elements and three loops (D, anti-codon, and T loops). Lineage: Eukaryota; Metazoa; Chordata; Mammalia; Artiodactyla; Camelidae. RNAcentral also lists the same sequence under 1 other name. The record is from Rfam by way of RNAcentral.